AUUGAGCGCUGGCGGCAUGCUUUACACAUGCAAGUCGAACGGCAGCGCGGGCUUCGGCCUGGCGGCGAGUGGCGAACGGGUGAGUAAUAUAUCGGAACGUACCCAGGAGUGGGGGAUAACGUAGCGAAAGUUACGCUAAUACCGCAUACGUCCUAAGGGAGAAAGUGGGGGAUCGCAAGACCUCAUGCUCAUGGAGCGGCCGAUAUCUGAUUAGCUAGUUGGUGGGGUAAAGGCUCACCAAGGCAACGAUCAGUAGCUGGUCUGAGAGGACGACCAGCCACACUGGAACUGAGACACGGUCCAGACUCCUACGGGAGGCAGCAGUGGGGAAUUUUGGACAAUGGGGCAAUCCUGAUCCAGCAAUGCCGCGUGAGUGAAGAAGGCCUUCGGGUUGUAAAGCUCUUUUGUCAGGGAAGAAAUGACUCCUUCUAAUACAGGGGGUUAAUGACGGUACCUGAAGAAUAAGCACCGGCUAACUACGUGCCAGCCGCCGCCGUAA
This 499-nucleotide ribosomal RNA is filed under the name uncultured bacterium. Its description in RNAcentral is "partial 16S ribosomal RNA". It matches the Rfam family "Bacterial small subunit ribosomal RNA", at positions 30 to 523 of the family's 1533-position model. The record is from RNAcentral.